AACGAACGCUGGCGGCAUGCCUAGCACAUGCAAGUCGAACGAGACCUUCGGGUCUAGUGGCGCACGGGUGCGUAACGCGUGGGAACCUGCCCUUAGGUUCGGAAUAACUCCCCGAAAGGGGUGCUAAUACCGGAUAAUGUCUUCGGACCAAAGAUUUAUCGCCUUUGGAUGGGCCCGCGUUGGAUUAGCUAGUUGGUAGGGUAAAAGCCUACCAAGGCGACGAUCCAUAGCUGGUCUGAGAGGAUGAUCAGCCACACUGGGACUGAGACACGGCCCAGACUCCUACGGGAGGCAGCAGUGGGGAAUAUUGGACAAUGGGCGAAAGCCUGAUCCAGCAAUGCCGCGUGAGUGAUGAAGGCCUUAGGGUUGUAAAGCUCUUUUACCCGGGAUGAUAAUGACAGUACCGGGAGAAUAAGCUCCGGCUAACUCCGUGC
RNAcentral lists this ribosomal RNA (434 nucleotides) under uncultured bacterium. RNAcentral's name for it is "partial 16S ribosomal RNA". It matches the Rfam family "Bacterial small subunit ribosomal RNA", at positions 29 to 508 of the family's 1533-position model. The record is from RNAcentral.